This 298-nucleotide long non-coding RNA is filed under the name Gallus gallus (chicken). The record is from RNAcentral. Lineage: Eukaryota; Metazoa; Chordata; Aves; Galliformes; Phasianidae.
CUCAUUUAAAGACUAGAGAUAAUGAACAGAAUGGAAAAUAACCUACCCCUCUGCCUGCUGUAGAGUAUGUCGCAUCGUUUUAAUUUGUUGGAAAUGACCCGACAUAUCUGUUGACAAGACCAUCUCAAUGACCAAGCUACGCAACUCCCUCCAGUCAUCUUUGGUUAAAUUUGCCAGGAUGUUCAUCUCUUCUUCUUGCAUUAGUCUAUAAGCAGCACUUACAUGAUGGUUUUCAAGAACAGAUCGAUCAUUGUACAGUAUUGCAACAUCUGACCUUGUCUGAAUAUGAAAAUUGUUU